CCUACGGGGAGCAGCAGUGAGGAAUAUUGGUCAAUGGACGCAAGUCUGAACCAGCCAUGCCGCGUGCAGGAAGACGGCUCUAUGAGUUGUAAACUGCUUUUGUACGAGGGUAAACGCAGAUACGCGUAUCUGUCUGAAAGUAUCGUACGAAUAAGGAUCGGCUAACUCCGUGCCAGCAGCCGCGGUAAUACGGAGGAUUCAAGCGUUAUCCGGAUUUAUUGGGUUUAAAGGGUGCGUAGGCGGUCGGAUAAGUUAGAGGUGAAAUCCCGAGGCUCAACUUCGGAAUUGCCUCUGAUACUGUUAGGCUAGAGAGUAGGUGCGGUAGGCGGAAUGUAUGGUGUAGCGGUGAAAUGCUUAGAGAUCAUACAGAACACCGAUUGCGAAGGCAGCUUACCAAGCUACGUCUGACGUUGAGGCACGAAAGCGUGGGGAGCAAACAGGAUUAGAUACCCGGGUAGUC
This 460-nucleotide ribosomal RNA is filed under the name uncultured bacterium. RNAcentral describes it as "partial 16S ribosomal RNA". It matches the Rfam family "Bacterial small subunit ribosomal RNA", at positions 338 to 795 of the family's 1533-position model. The record is from RNAcentral.